AACGAACGCUGGCGGCAUGCCUAACACAUGCAAGUCGAACGAGACCUUCGGGUCUAGUGGCGCACGGGUGCGUAACGCGUGGGAACCUGCCCUUAGGUUCGGAAUAACUCCCCGAAAGGGGUGCUAAUACCGGAUAAUGUCUUCGGACCAAAGAUUUAUCGCCUUUGGAUGGGCCCGCGUUGGAUUAGCUAGUUGGUAGGGUAAAAGCCUACCACGGCGACGAUCCAUAGCUGGUCUGAGAGGAUGAUCAGCCACACUGGGACUGAGACACGGCCCAGACUCCUACGGGAGGCAGCAGUGGGGAAUAGUGGACAAUGGGCGAAAGCCUGAUCCAGCAAGGCCGCGUGAGUGAUGAAGGCCUUAGGGUUGUAAAGCUCUUUUACCCGGGAUGAUAAUGACAGUACCGGGAGAAUAAGCGCCGGCUAACUCCGUG
RNAcentral lists this ribosomal RNA (433 nucleotides) under uncultured bacterium. RNAcentral describes it as "partial 16S ribosomal RNA". It matches the Rfam family "Bacterial small subunit ribosomal RNA", at positions 29 to 507 of the family's 1533-position model. The record is from RNAcentral.